GACGAACGCUGGCGGCGUGCUUAACACAUGCAAGUCGAACGGAAAGGCCCUGCUUUUGUGAGGUGCUCGAGUGGCGAACGGGUGAGUAACACGUGAGUAACCUGCCCUUGACUUUGGGAUAACUUCAGGAAACUGGGGCUAAUACCGGAUAGGAGCUCCUGCUGCAUGGUGGGGGUUGGAAAGUUUCGGCGGUUGGGGAUGGACUCGCGGCUUAUCAGCUUGUUGGUGGGGUAGUGGCUUACCAAGGCUUUGACGGGUAGCCGGCCUGAGAGGGUGACCGGCCACAUUGGGACUGAGAUACGGCCCAGACUCCUACGGGAGGCAGCAGUGGGGAAUAUUGCACAAUGGGCGGAAGCCUGAUGCAGCAACGCCGCGUGCGGGAUGACGGUCUUCGGGUUGUAAACCGCUUUCGCCUGUGACGAAGCGUGAGUGACGGUAAUGGGUAAAGAAGCACCGGCUAACUACGUG
RNAcentral lists this ribosomal RNA (468 nucleotides) under uncultured bacterium. RNAcentral describes it as "partial 16S ribosomal RNA". It matches the Rfam family "Bacterial small subunit ribosomal RNA", at positions 28 to 507 of the family's 1533-position model. The record is from RNAcentral.